RNAcentral lists this ribosomal RNA (465 nucleotides) under Vreelandella stevensii. RNAcentral describes it as "partial 16S ribosomal RNA". It matches the Rfam family "Bacterial small subunit ribosomal RNA", at positions 338 to 795 of the family's 1533-position model. Lineage: Bacteria; Pseudomonadati; Pseudomonadota; Gammaproteobacteria; Oceanospirillales; Halomonadaceae. The record is from RNAcentral.
CCUACGGGAGGCAGCAGUGGGGAAUAUUGGACAGUGGGCGAAAGCCUGAUCCAGCCAUGCCGCGUGUGUGAAGAAGGCCUUCGGGUUGUAAAGCACUUUCAGUGGGGAAGAAAGCCUUGGGGCUAAUACCCUCGAGGAAGGACAUCACCCACAGAAGAAGCACCGGCUAACUCCGUGCCAGCAGCCGCGGUAAUACGGAGGGUGCGAGCGUUAAUCGGAAUUACUGGGCGUAAAGCGCGCGUAGGCGGUCUGAUAAGCCGGUUGUGAAAGCCCCGGGCUCAACCUGGGAACGGCAUCCGGAACUGUCAGGCUAGAGUGCAGGAGAGGAAGGUAGAAUUCCCGGUGUAGCGGUGAAAUGCGUAGAGAUCGGGAGGAAUACCAGUGGCGAAGGCGGCCUUCUGGACUGACACUGACGCUGAGGUGCGAAAGCGUGGGUAGCAAACAGGAUUAGAUACCCCGGUAGUC